UUUAUUUUAUUUUAUUUUCAUUUUAGUAAGCUUUACACAUAAAAUCAGGUCAAGUGAGCCAUGGCCUUCAUGUCAAUCAAUCAAAAGGAUCGUGAUUAUACAAAGAAACAAUCUGCUUUCUCCUUUUAUCAUUUUUUUAUUUAUUUCUCUAAUUCUUCUUCGUUUGUCUGUAUUCUUACUCUUAACAUCCAUAGCAGUUUCGGGUUUUUUUUUUAUCAUGACAACUCUUCUUGUGGAACAUAUUUUCCAAAGUGAAUUAGUGAUAAUCAUUCAUUGCUAUCAGCUUCUGUUGAUCUUUGCAUUCAAUAGUAACAAGCUAUGUUUACAAUAAAAGAGCUAGACAGCCUGAUGGGAUAUCAUCUAGAAAGCUUCUGAAUUGUAAGAGUGUGUAAACUAUGCAAAACUAGGUCUUGCCUGAGGGGUGAGAGACAAGAAGCCUUAAAGUGGUGGCUGAAGUGAGAAACAGAGCAGUUUUUAAGAUGUUAGGAAAUUCCAAGGACAAAAACACAGCUAUGCUGGAAAUAACAGAGUCCCACUAAUCUGAAAUAAACAUCUGUGAACAUCCAGCAGAUCUGUAGACAAGAGUUGGCUCUGUCUGCUUGAAUGUUUCAUGUCACGUGGUUGUUCUUUUUUUAAUACUUUCGCUGAGUUUUCCAGGAUUUUCACAUAUCUAUCCAAAGCAGAAACAGCAAAUGGGAAAUGAUGAACUUUCAAAACGUUUUGGAAGUUUUCAGCACCUUGCCAAGAAAACAGAAAACUAAGGCAGAAGUGAAAAAGCUCAGACAGAUGACCUUUCUCUCAAACAUCUCAGCCUGUUUGCUGUUCUACGCUGUUUCCAAGAUCCAGAGUGUGCCCAGCUGCAAGCAAUCCUACAAACUGAUCAGCGCUCACCUGGAAGCUAAUUAGUGUUUGCUUGCAGUUUCACCUAGGAGUUUUAGAUCUUUGAUCGUGGCUGCAGUGUGGUAGAAAAUAUAUCAAGAAGCAACAAAAUGUUGAUUACUGUCCUAUAGUGGAAACUGAAUGGUUAUUUUAGUAAUUUGCUGCUAGAAAAUUUGCUUUAUGACUCUGUCCGUGGCAUUUAGAAAACUGGUUUAACAGGGAUUGAAGCUGGAUUUCUAUGAGCUCAUCCUUGUAAAUCUUAAUAAAUGAUUUAUUCAUUUUGUUUUCUGUGUCACUGUGCCGUUUUUGCAGCACGUUUACCACGAAGCAGAAGUUGAGAUGAAUGCUGCAGCCUGCUACAGGGGAAAAGGAGAACACUGGAAAAAUGAAAAGAAAUAUUUUAAAUGUGUACAGAGAUGAAAGCCUAAGUAAGUGGUAUCCUGAUGCAAGUGUACAGGCAAUCUAACUAAACGUAGACCAUCUCAGCUCUGUGAAAAUGAGACUCCUGCAGUCUCUCGUACACGGAGUAGAUUACUCAUUAAUAAAAGCUGGUACAAAAAUUAUAUUAAAAACAAACAAGAACAACACAGAAUGAAGACUGCGGUAAUUAAUUAGCAAAUAUUCAUUAUAUAGACUUUCAGUGUUUAUUUUUUACCAUGCUACAUUCCUAGAAAUGAUUGCAUUUGGUUAUACCCACUUAGAACUAGUUUAUUUGCCAAGGCCCUGCAAAGGAAAUUCUGAGCAGUUCGAGAUCGGCUGUCCUUAUGGCAUCAUGGUCUUUUGUUUGUUAUCAGUUGGAAUUUAUUGGUACAGAAGACCACCAGCACUUUUCAGGGCUGUUAACAUCACUUAAAUUUAAAUAAUUUAAGUAAGCUCGUUUCUCAGUCCAAGGGAAAAAUAUGCAGGAGUUCCAAAAGAAGACUAAUAGCAAGAACUUAGGUUAGCAUUUCAAAUUGCCUACUGGAAUGUUCUCUAUUAAUCAUCUGGUAAACCGAGGGAAGCUAUUCUUUUAAUUUAGGCAUUUGAGCUAAUUGCCAAACGGGAAGAAUUAUAAACAUGCCCAUUUUCCUUCUCUUUGAAUACUUCCCUCAGGAUCUCAUUUGAUCUUGUGGGUAAUGUACCAUUUUAAAAGUAGCAGGAUUAAGCCUUUAGGAAAAAAAAAGCAACAUUACAGAGAAAAAGAAUAAGAAAAAUAAUUUUAAAAUGGAUCUGGAAAAGGAUUUAGCCGUUAUUCUAUGUCAGCAUUUCAACUGCUUUUUUAUAUCUACGUAAUCAGAAUAUUUGGUUGCAUUUUCUAUAGAGGCACUGAUUUUUUUUUUUCAUCUACCCUCACGGAAAUGAUUACUUUGGACUAUUUUUCAGAACAUAACAAAAAAUAUGUUUUCCCUUCUCAAAUAAUCAUCUAGUUAGGAGACAGUGAGCACAGCUGCUCUUUAAACUAUUCCACAUUAAAGAUACCAGUUGAUAUCUUUAAAAUUCAAGUGGCCAAAAAAUUUAGAAAUGUUUACUUGGUUCACGACUCAAAUGAAAAGUUCUUGUUCAGUUCCUGGCACUUCUGAGAUUCAGAAAUAACCAAGACUUCCCUCAGAUUUCUUCCAGUCCAUUUGUUCAGUAUUUCUUGUAGGUAUUCCAGUUUUCUAAUUUUCUUCAUAAAACUGUAUAUUCAUUAAUAGAUAUGACAGAAAAGGAAGGUUUGAAGUAACCAUAGAUGGCAAGCACAGACUUUUUAACAAGGACAAAAGGCCAUCAAAACAAGCUCCAAUAAACUGUGGAGUAUUCAACUCUUUAUCUUCCGGCUGUUCCUGGAUGAUGUGCCUUAUGAGAAUAACAGCUAUUAAAAAAAUCAUCAAUCAGGCUUUCCAGCCUCAAUUAGGGUGUUGGAUUCUUCAAACACAGGAACCAAGGGUAAACACAGAAGCAGAUGCUUUACUAAAAGACUACCCGGAUGAUCUGCAGGGCUCCUCUGCCUCUACAGAUCCUGGUAUUUUAAAGCCAUCAAAGCAGAUGAUGAGAGCAGUCAUAACGGGAUGCUGAAAACUAGUUUGUAACGGGUGGUCUGGUAUUGUCUUUUAAAUUGGCAAAAUACAGACAUCAUUGAAAUGCACGUAUGUUUACAGUGAAGUCUUACCCACAUUACCAUUCCACUGGUUUCACUUUGUGAAAUUGCAAAUCAUAUGGCUGGUGGAAUUCAUAAUCCCAAGGUCACCAAGAACCAAGAAGACUUUGCCUAGACUAACAGAGCGAGACACUGGGAUGGAAAAUACUACACCAUUCCUCCAAAAAUUAUCGACCAUGAGAAAAAUGACGUCAGUCUGACACAAGUUAAUGUAAGAAGGAAGAUAUCUGGGAGAUGGCCCAGAAAUAUGCAAAAUGAGGUGAACGAAACUGCUUUCAGAAAGGCAUUCUUAUGUAUAAGACAUGAAUAGCUCCAUAUGCAGAACAGUGGUUAACGGGGCAUGUAAUUUUCAAACCCAGCUUCCACAACAGAUGGCUUUAUUUACCACAUUUAGGAACUUUGCAUGGGGGAAUCUACCACUGGAAGCACAGUUGCGUGUACUGCAAAAUGAUCAGAUGUGGGUCAAAAACCAGACUGCCCUAAUGCUUUGUGCCAGUGCUUGUGUAAGAUUGUUGCAAUCUGUCCAAAGCAGAAAAUGAUCCAAAUAAUUAGAUGUGUGUGAUGUUUUCUCUCCUAAAAUAAUUGUAACCAUGUUGGGAAUUAAAACAGGUCAACUGGAACGUCCAUAAGGAACAUCCACAGGUUUCCAGUGCAGCUUUUUCAGUAGUGAUAUUUCUAAUACCUUUUGUUACCAUAAAAACACACAACCACUCAGUCUGUCAAAUUCCUGGUAAACUCUGGGAAAUACAGUGUCAUGUAAUGGUCACAGUGUGCUGAAGAGCAGCUCGGGGAGACAAGAAUAUGGAAGGGAAAUGUUCUACCACUGAAUACAUCAUUCCCAAUGAAUGUCUGGAAUCUAUCAUCUAAUAAGUUUCUUUCCCUUUUUUUUUUUUUUUUUUUUUUUUUUUACAGCUAAAAAUGCUGAUGACCAGUGGAAAGUGACAGAUGCUUUAGCAGAAAGGCAUUCAAACACAAGGCAUCAAAAUGAGAAAAUGGAACACACAGGGCAGACUUUAGCUAGUUUCUAUUACAUGGUCGGGAGCAGUGUUUUAUUUCAGUUUGGACAAGAAAAUCAGCACAACUAAAACAGAGAUGUCUCUUGAGUUCUUGAGUUUGUGGGCAUCUAUGACAAGGUUUCUAGGAGCUGAUGUUCCUGUAUAAAAUCUAAACCUAAAAAGAAACCUAAGUCUGGUUUCUUUCCAUCCUCUUCAUAUGGUAAAUAAUAAUAUUAAUAUAAUAUAUAUAUAUAUUUAUAGAUAUAUAAUAUUAUUAAUAUAUAUGGUAAUAAUAAGAUUAGAAGCAGAGCUAGAGUGUGGGGAAGGUGGAUUUAUGCAUCCUCAGUUGUUAGGGUUUUGUUCUUUCAAAUUUGCAUAAAAACAGAAGUCACUGUUAAUGCAGUUAAGGUCAGUGAACAGUUCUAGAGUGUGAUUUGGUAUUAAAAGGAGUAGGAACAAAUUUCUGUAGCAGUUCAAUCACAAAUCUUUCCUAAAAUGUAUUUGCCUGAUGUUAGUCCCCCAAAUAAGAGCCCUGGUCUUGCUGUAGUUUUCAGGCAGAUCUGUGGACCCAGCUGAAUAUUUAAAACAAGAAAAACAACACCAAUAGGUCAACUGGCAGAUGGAAGGAGAGAGUAUUGCGUUCUUCUUCCCCAUUACCAAUUUCUAAACAAUCAGUGACCUAAAACUAGCACUACUUCUAAGUAGGAAUGAACCAAACAAGAGUUUCAUCAGUUCACUAACAAGAAAUUUUUAAAGGGACACAAAAUAAGUUUUAACCACAUGCUUACCUGAAGAUUACCUGGAAAAAAAAAAAAAACUAAGGGCUUUUCAAUGCUGCUGUCUGUCUUGGGCUAGAAAUGUUUAUUUUAUGUAGAAUCAUCAAACAGCAUAAUCAGGAUCUUGGAGGCCUUCAGAAAAAGAAAUGAGAACAAUUUUAAAUGCAGCCAUAAAUGUAUGUUGUUGCAAGGGCUGGAGAGGUGAUUAAUGUUACUUUGGAUUUGGGAGCUUCCUCAUACGUACAUUUUAUGUUGCUGUUCAAUAGCGAGGGACAAUUCUUAUGUAUUUUAUCAAUAGGGGCAUUCGUUUCUCUAUCUAAUUUCAUAAACACACCAAACAUUUGUUGACUCACUGAUUUUUACACCAUUGGUUAUCUAAGCCAUAUCUACCUCCACUGAAUAAAUCUAAUGUCUUGGCUCCAUUAAAUCCAGUGGCAAGCUGACUUUUCAGUGGAAGAAGGAUUUCAUAUGUUCACAGUAGUGCUGUAAGUUGCCUCAAGGCAGUCUCACUAGGAAAACACAAGAAUACGACAAAGUUUACUGUUUCUAGCUGAUGCAUAUCAAUACGUUGGAAGGUUACGCAGAGCUCGAAUAUGCUGUGGAGGCGUUUUGCAACAUAUCAAUGUCAGAAGUUGCCAGUUCGACACUUUCCAUAAUGAUUUUCAAAGAAAAAGAUCUGGAAGCCAGGAAAAUACAUGGGGAAAGUGUUGUGCAAAUCAUAUCUUUUUUGGGUAACAACGCAUACCAUGAAAUUGUUUUGUUUUUUUUUAAAUUUGGGAGGUACCAUUAACUUUCUCAAAAAAGAAAAGGAUCUGACAACCAGAUUAAUUGAUAUUAUGACCGUAAUGCUUUGGAAUUUUUUUUUCCAUCAAAAUGGUGGAUGGAAUUGGAGGGGAAAACACAGAAGGGAAAAGAGGAGAGAAGGGACGCUAUUUUUUCAUGUCUAUCGCCUCCAUUGAUUUUGUUUUUCAAAUUUUCCUGACAACAGUAUUGUCUCUUCAAGAAAGGUACUUACAUUCUUCCUGUAUGCGAUCAGGCUGUUAAUUACGCUGCAAACAGAUUUAUUCUGCAGUUUGAUGCUAUGUCUGCCUUAGGCCACAUCAGCUGGUUGCGCUGCAGCGUGGUGGAACAGAGACUAUCUGAGCACUGUCAUACUGAUGGUCUUUGUAGGGAAAAGAACAUUUCUGACCCUUAUGAAGCAGCCCUGGUUUUGUUCAGAGCAUUAACCAGCGUUAGGCACCAGAAAUUUACUAGAUUUUGAUUCCAACUUCCAAGAAAAGCAAGAGAAUGAGAUUUUAUUUUCACACGUUCCAUAUCUUGAUUUCCUGGAUCUUUUUUUUUUAGGUGCAGAUUAACAAACAGAAGGUUCAGCAUUAGCUCUCAUUGCUACUUUAUCUGAAAGUCCAGAAUUUUGCUUAACGUUGGCAUAGUGCCAAUGGACAUAAAAAUUCAGAAGAAACUUCAGUUCCAUAAAAUCAUUAUGCUAACAACUGACGGAGUCCCAUGGGAAGCAUGCCUGACGGUCCAAGACAUGCUGGCCAUGAUGGGCAGCCAUGUCACAGCCUCGGCCUUCCGAAGCGAAUCAUCACACUUCCAGAGAGCUUACAGGUUAGUGGAAGGUGAGGAUGGAAGGUCAAGUCCCUGCAGAAGAGUGGAUCCCCACUUUUGCUGGUAGUGCAGCCUUCAAAAGGGGCUUGGGUAGUUUUGUCACGCCUGCAUGGCAAUACACAUGGAAGAAUCUCAUUUUGCCAUUCUUUGAACUGGCACUGUUCUGCUACUUAAGCAGCAGAAAGGGCAGGUAUUUUUAGGCAGAUAGGGUAAACUCUAGCAGUACCAUGCACCUGCACAGACUGUACAUCAAACGGAUAUGACACUGUACGUAUCUGCCCGUCAUUAGGAAAGUACAUACACUGACAGUUGUUUCUUAGUUUAACACAUCAUUAACAAGAGGCGAGCUUUUAUUUCAAAGAAGAGAGAAGACUAACUUAAACAUUAAAAUUGUUUUCAAUCAUUUAAGUUACAUAGUUCUCACUCCAGAAGCUUUGAUCAUGUAUAAUCCCGCUGAAAGGCUGAAAUGUAAUCAGCCUCACAUACAUUAUGUUGCAAUGUUGUGGCACUAGUGCAUGACAGAAUUUUAUUUUCCAUUAGUUCAUUCUUUGCUGGAAAUAUAAACACUCUAUAUGCUUAAUAGUCCAAAAAAUGAAUGUUAUUGCUUUUUAAAAUUGCCUGUUAAUGAGAAUUCUGCUUGCUAUUAAAAAAUCGAGUGCCUUAGGACCAUCUUUCAAAUGCUGACAUACCUAUUUGCAACAUCAACAGCGUUAAACAAUCAAAACAAAAUCAUCCCUGCUUGUGCUUUUACUAAAAGCAACCAGGUUUUCUAACUGAUCAAAAUGGAUGUUUAUAGCAUCUGGGGAGCCAGGACUGACUUUUAAACGGCUUCUCGCUGAACUAUGAACAAUUUUCUAUCAGGUCUGGUGCAGCAGUGUUGGCUGUGGAAACAUGUGCGGAACAAAGAUAGUUACUUUUUCAGGAAGAAAAAAAAAAAGCCUGCUGUUCUAAAGGGUUUCUUUUAAGUAGGAAAGAUGUAGGAAAGGUUGCAUUGACCUGAAUCAUCAAAUGUAUGCCAACGCUUGAGAAAAAGCAAGUUCCUCAAUGUAGGAAAAGACUGUAUUUUACUUUCUCUUCUAAGCGCAUACAGGGUCUGCUUUUCCAUAGCAGCCAUGAGCUCAGUUGGAAUUAAGGAUUCCUAUCAUUUCUAAAGAUCUCUACCACUCAUUGUGACUCAUCACAUAGCAGUUGAAACAACAUAGUUUUUGUUUCCUAACAAGCCAGAUCUUUUAGGACAAUGAACUUGAGUGGAAGCAAGACAAAGUGAGGGAUGAUUGGAAGAACUCCUGUAAAUUGCAUCUACAGUUAAUCCAGGAAUAGAGUCUGGAGAUGUAGAUUCUUUUUUAUUUGGUUUCUUAUCCUAAUAGUCACAGACUCUGGAAUUGUACUCAUACAUACUUUUCUUUUCAUCUUACCUGUAAGAUGUAAUCCAUGCCUCCUUUUCAUAACUCGUGCUGCUGAGGAGGGCAAGGGGUGGAGGGGAGCAGCUGAGGUCCCUUGGUUUGUUCAGCCCAGAGAAGAGCUCUCUCAUGGCAGUUACCUGCUCCUCGUGGCAGCAAAUAUCAACAGAGGUUGUCAGAACAGCUCCCAGCUGGAUGAGAGAACGGAAUCUGGCUCUGUUUGUAUGGUUUUUAAUAAUAUGAAGA
Gallus gallus (chicken) is the source of this 8020-nucleotide long non-coding RNA. The record is from Ensembl. Lineage: Eukaryota; Metazoa; Chordata; Aves; Galliformes; Phasianidae.